UAGAGUUUGAUCCUGGCUCAGAUUGAACGCUGGCGGCAUGCCUUACACAUGCAAGUCGAACGGUAACGCGGGGCAACCUGGCGACGAGUGGCGAACGGGUGAGUAAUACAUCGGAACGUGCCCAGUAGUGGGGGAUAGCCCGGCGAAAGCCGGAUUAAUACCGCAUACGACCUACGGGUGAAAGCAGGGGACCGCAAGGCCUUGCGCUAUUGGAGCGGCCGAUGUCAGAUUAGGUUGUUGGUGGGGUAAAAGCCUACCAAGCCGACGAUCUGUAGCUGGUCUGAGAGGACGACCAGCCACACUGGGACUGAGACACGGCCCAGACUCCUACGGGAGGCAGCAGUGGGGAAUCUUAGACAAUGGGGGCAACCCUGAUCUAGCCAUGCCGCGUAAGUGAUGAAGGCCUUAGGGUUGUAAAGCUCUUUUCAGCUGGGAAGAUAAUGACGUACCAGC
RNAcentral lists this ribosomal RNA (453 nucleotides) under uncultured beta proteobacterium. Its description in RNAcentral is "bacterial SSU rRNA". It matches the Rfam family "Bacterial small subunit ribosomal RNA", at positions 1 to 482 of the family's 1533-position model. The record is from RNAcentral. Lineage: Bacteria; Pseudomonadati; Pseudomonadota; Betaproteobacteria.